AUGCUAUGAAUAUUAUCUUUGUCUUUUCCUCAUGGGGGCCUGGUGUGCAAUGGCUGUAGACAGCAGCCUCUUUGGUAGUAAAGAAACCUGUUGCUUAUACAAAUGCCCCAAGGAACCUUGGAGACAGUU
Molecule: small nucleolar RNA, 129 nt
Organism: Jaculus jaculus (lesser Egyptian jerboa)
Lineage: Eukaryota; Metazoa; Chordata; Mammalia; Rodentia; Dipodidae
Gene: SNORA70
Rfam family: Small nucleolar RNA SNORA70
About the family: snoRNA U70 seems to be exclusive to mammals and is a member of the H/ACA class of snoRNA which contain H (ANANNA) and ACA box motifs. H/ACA box snoRNAs are involved in the conversion of uridines to pseudouridines (5-ribosyluracil) a constituent of structural RNAs (transfer, ribosomal, small nuclear, and small nucleolar).
Source: Ensembl